UGUGAUGUUUACCGUUUUGGACAAGACAAACAAACCCGAUAUAGACAGCAAUGCUUUCAGAUGGUCCACAGAGACUGAGAUGUUUCUAAAUGCUGUUAGAGAAGCAACCGAAAACAGAGAUGUUUGGACAGGUGUGUGAGAAACAUGUCCUCCGCUGUAUCACAUAUUAAACCCUGGUCCAAAUGUGGAGAGGUUGAAUGUAUUUUUGAAUAGUUUUGUUUAUCAUAAUUAUUUAUUCCCAUUUGAAUAAACAAAUUUGAUAAAAAUAAUUAUUUACAUUUUGAUAUUUACAAGAUCUUCCUUGAUCUACCACGUUAUAGCAAUAUGGUCAAAAACAAAACAUGACCACAAAUCAGAGAAGUUUGUGCCAAGAUGACUUUAGUCAGUCCAAUAUGACAAAAUAAGAUCGGUCUAAAAGAAUGUUUUGGAAUUCAAUGAAAACCUGUCGACUUUUGUUUUCAUUACUAUUGUCAUUAUGCGACUGAUUUUCAAGAAUGACCUGAACUUCACUCCAAACGAACAACAACAACAAAUUAUCCAGAUAAUAUCAUUGAUGGAGAAUAUAAAAAAAUACAAAAAAGAAAAAUGAUAUAAUACAUGAUCUCUAAAGAAAUGUGGGUUUGUAUAAACCUGGCUCAAAUAUAGUCAAUGUAUAGUGUGAUUCUGAACACGGUUUGUUCUCAAUAUAGUGUGUUUAUAGUAAAGCAAUAUUUCUUUCAACCUUCAUCCUAUCUGUGAAUGUAAUUGUUCUUUAUUGAUGUAUUUGCUGCAGAUACACUACACAAAGUCAACAGCCAUCAGGUGGGGCACAAUGUCAUCUCUCUGUCCUCCAUCUGCCCUAUCCACUGGAGUAGGUGAGAUCAAUAGAGAUGAUGUAUGAGGCCGGCCGGUCUCUGACAGUUCAGAUGAGAGCUGAUCUCUGUGUGUGCCGCAGAGUUAACUACACGGGAGACGUCACAUGGCACCACCGUGUCUUCACCCACAAUCCUCCCUCUGAGUGGACAUGGACCAAAUUACAUGACCCUCAUCCUUGACCGGCUGAGGAGAGGAGGACACGCUGACCUUGAGGUAUUUUCCAGCUCAAAGGACCAUAACAGCCGUCGGGAGGGAGUGAAAGAGUAUGAUGGGUUGUGAUUUAAGAGUUUUAUGAGGCAGAGCAGGACAAUGGAAGACGUUUGGGACAGCAGGACUGACAGGCACCUCGAGGGGGGAGAUGUUGACUCUUGGCUCUUGUGAAUCUGUCAAGAGAAAUGUUAAUCGAGUCCAUUGUGAUGGUAUGAGGACAAGGUGAAAGCUCACAGCAGACAGACAGCGAGAGACUGUGACCACAUCACAGCCAGACAGAUCACUGCCGGAGGACGAGAGAAACGCUGCUGUGGGAUUCCAAGGACACAGACUGAAGACGGCUGUAAGAAACCACAGAUGGUGACCAGCUACCUGCAGGGAAGAAUCUUAAACUAAAAUGAGCUCUGCCUUCAGUGGGGGAUAUGAUACAAAUACCUGCCACAUCAGAAGUCAGGAACAGUCGUCCGCCGUUCUGUGACCCUCAGGCAAGGCGGUGGUCCACUUUUACAAAGACUUUAGAUCAUAUACAGCUUUCAUUUAACAUUUCUGAUUGGCCCUGGUUACUUUUUAAUGCCCCAAUAAUAGGAGUCCAUAAUGUGAAGCGUUUAUACAUUUUGUGUUAAACUACAUUUCCCAAUCACAGUGUUGACCAUAAAUAUCGAAAAAAUGUGACCUUUUAGAAACGUGUGUCCUUGUAAAUGCAAACACUCUUUUCUUUUAAAUAAUACAUGCCACAUACAGUAUAUUUAAGCAAAGUAUAUUUUAUAUACAGGAUGGUAAAUGUACUUAUUAAUAUGAUUUUGAAAUAAA
Molecule: long non-coding RNA, 1875 nt
Organism: Triplophysa dalaica
Lineage: Eukaryota; Metazoa; Chordata; Actinopteri; Cypriniformes; Nemacheilidae
Exons: 3
Source: RefSeq, a predicted model, not a curated record